RNAcentral lists this ribosomal RNA (359 nucleotides) under uncultured bacterium. RNAcentral's name for it is "bacterial SSU rRNA". It matches the Rfam family "Bacterial small subunit ribosomal RNA", at positions 8 to 393 of the family's 1533-position model. The record is from RNAcentral.
AGAGUUUGAUCCUGGCUCAGAGCGAACGCUGGCGGCAGGCUUAACACAUGCAAGUCGAACGGGCGUAGCAAUACGUCAGUGGCAGACGGGUGAGUAACGCGUGGGAACGUACCUUUUGGUUCGGAACAACUGAGGGAAACUUCAGCUAAUACCGAAUAAGCCCUUACGGGGAAAGAUUUAUCGCCGAAAGAUCGGCCCGCGUCUGAUUAGCUUGUUGGUGAGGUAACGGCUCACCAAGGCGACGAUCAGUAGCUGGUCUGAGAGGAUGAUCAGCCACAUUGGGACUGAGACACGGCCCAAACUCCUACGGGAGGCAGCAGUGGGGAAUAUUGGACAAUGGGCGAAAGCCUGAUCCAGCC